RNAcentral lists this ribosomal RNA (468 nucleotides) under uncultured Syntrophus sp. Its description in RNAcentral is "bacterial SSU rRNA". It matches the Rfam family "Bacterial small subunit ribosomal RNA", at positions 915 to 1382 of the family's 1533-position model. The record is from RNAcentral. Lineage: Bacteria; Pseudomonadati; Thermodesulfobacteriota; Syntrophia; Syntrophales; Syntrophaceae.
GGGGGCCCGCACAAGCGGUGGAGCAUGUGGUUUAAUUCGAUGCAACGCGAAGAACCUUACCUGGGCUUGACAUCCCGGGAAUCCCUUGGAACAAGGGAGUGCCCUUCGGGGAACCUGGAGACAGGUGCUGCAUGGCUGUCGUCAGCUCGUGUCGUGAGAUGUAGGGUUAAGUCCCGCAACGAGCGCAACCCUUGUCUUUAGUUGCCAUCAUUGAGUUGGGCACUUUAAAGAGACUGCCGGUGUUAAACCGGAGGAAGGUGGGAUGACGUCAAGUCCUCAUGGCCUUUAUGUCUAGGGCUACACACGUGCUACAAUGGGUGGUACAAAGAGCAGCUAACUCGCGAGAGUAUGCAAAUCUCAAAAAGCCAUCCUCAGUUCGGAUUGGAGUCUGCAACUCGACUCCAUGAAGUUGGAAUCGCUAGUAAUCGCGGAUCAGCACGCCCGCGGUCGAAUACGUUCCCGGGCCUU